GUGGGGAAUCUUCCACAAUGGACGAAAGUCUGAUGGAGCAACGCCGCGUGAGUGAAGAAGGGUUUCGGCUCGUAAAGCUCUGUUGUCGGGGACGAAUGUGCAGUAUUUGAAUAAAGUACUGUAAUGACGGUACCUGACGAGGAAGCCACGGCUAACUACGUGCCAGCAGCCGCGGUAAUACGUAGGUGGCAAGCGUUGUCCGGAAUUAUUGGGCGUAAAGGGAGCGCAGGCGGGAAGGUAAGUCGGUCUUAAAAGUGCGGGGCUCAACCCCGUGAUGGGAUCGAAACUAUCUUUCUUGAGUGCAGGAGAGGAAAGUGGAAUUCCUAGUGUAGCGGUGAAAUGCGUAGAUAUUAGGAGGAACACCAGUGGCGAAGGCGACUUUCUGGACUGUAACUGACGCUGAGGCUCGAAAGCCAGGGGAGCGAACGGGAUUAGAUACCCUGGUAGUCC
Molecule: ribosomal RNA, 450 nt
Filed under: uncultured bacterium
Lineage: Bacteria
Description: partial 16S ribosomal RNA
Rfam family: Bacterial small subunit ribosomal RNA
Source: RNAcentral